GACGAACGCUGGCGGCGUGCUUAACACAUGCAAGUCGAACGGUGAAGCGCCUUCCUUUUUGGUGGGUGUGGAUGAGUGGCGAACGGGUGAGUAACACGUGAGUAACCUGCCCCCUUCUCCUGGAUAACCGCAUGAAAGUGUGGCUAAUACGGGAUAUUCUGGUUCUGUCGCAUGAUGGGUCUGGGAAAGAUAUUGUUUCGGUGGGGGAUGGGCUCGCGGCCUAUCAGCUUGUUGGUGGGGUGGUGGCCUCCCAAGGCGGUGACGGGUAGCCGGCCUGAGAGGGUGGACGGUCACACUGGGGAGGGGACACGGCGGGGACUAGUACGGGAGGCAGCAGUGGGGAAUAGUGGACAAUGGGCGCAAGGCUGAAGCGGCGACGCCGCGUGAGGGAUGGAGGCCUUCGGGUUGUGAACCUCUUUCGCCAGUGAAGCAGGCCUGCCUGGUUUGUGGGUGGGUUGACGGUAGCUGGAGAAGAAGCGCCGGCUAACUACGUG
RNAcentral lists this ribosomal RNA (494 nucleotides) under uncultured bacterium. RNAcentral's name for it is "partial 16S ribosomal RNA". It matches the Rfam family "Bacterial small subunit ribosomal RNA", at positions 28 to 507 of the family's 1533-position model. The record is from RNAcentral.